GUUUCGGAUUACUGGGGCGUAAGCGCAUCGCUAGGCUGGUCUGAUCAAGUCGUGAUGUGAAAUCCCCGGGCUCAACCUGGGAACUGCAUUCGAAACUGGCAGGCUGGAGUCUUGUAGAGGGGGGUAGAAUUCCAGGUGUAGCGGUGAAAUGCGUAGAGAUCUGGAGGAAUACCGGUGGCGAAGGCGGCCCCCUGGACUAAUACUGACGCUCAGGUGCGAAAGCGUGGGGAGCAAACAGGAUUAGAUACCCUGGUAGUCCACGCUGUAAACGAUGUCUACUUGAAGGUUGUUCCCUUGAUGAGUGGCUUCCGGAGCUAACGCGUUAAGUCGACCGCCUGGGGAGUACGGCCGCAAGGAUUAGAAACUCAAAGAAAUUUGACCGGGA
RNAcentral lists this ribosomal RNA (385 nucleotides) under uncultured bacterium. RNAcentral describes it as "bacterial SSU rRNA". It matches the Rfam family "Bacterial small subunit ribosomal RNA", at positions 542 to 919 of the family's 1533-position model. The record is from RNAcentral.